GUCGAGGGGCAGCAUAUGGAUUGCUUGCAAUCCAUGAUGGCGACCGGCGCACGGGUGCGUAACGCGUAUGUAACUUGCCUUAUGCAGGAGGAUAACCCGAAGAAAUUCGGCCUAAUACUCCAUAAGUGUCAGAGAGGCAUCUUUCGGGCAUGAAAGAUUUAUCGGCAUAAGAUAGACAUGCGUGACAUUAGCUAGUCGGUGAGGUAACGGCUCACCGAGGCGACGAUGUCUAGGGGUUCUGAGAGGAAGGUCCCCCACACUGGUACUGAGACACGGACCAGACUCCUACGGGAGGCAGCAGUGAGGAAUAUUGGUCAAUGGACGGAAGUCUGAACCAGCCAUGCCGCGUGCAGGAUGACGGCUCUAUGAGUUGUAAACUGCUUUUGUACGAGAAUAAUAGUUCUUACGUGUAGGGAUUUGAAUGUAUCGUACGAAUAAGGAUCGGCUAACUCCGUGCCAGCAGCCGCGGUAAUACGGAGGAUUCGAGCGUUAUCCGGAUUUAUUGGGUUUAAAGGGUGCGUAGGCUGUCGGAUAAGUUAGAGGUCAAAUGUCGGGGCUUAACCCCGUGCCUGCCUCUGAUACUGUUCGACUGGAGAGCGGAUGCAGCAGGCGGAAUGAGUAGUGUAGCGGUGAAAUGCUUAGAUAUUACUCAGAACACCGAUUGCGCAGGCAGCUUGCUAAUCCGCAUCUGACGCUGAUGCACGAAAGCGUGGGUAGCGAACAGGAUUAGAUACCCUGGUAGUCCACGCAGUAAACGAUGAUAACUCGUUGUCGGCGAUAUACAGUCGGUGACCCAGCGAAAGCGAUAAGUUAUCCACCUGGGGAGUAC
Molecule: ribosomal RNA, 829 nt
Filed under: uncultured bacterium
Lineage: Bacteria
Description: bacterial SSU rRNA
Rfam family: Bacterial small subunit ribosomal RNA
Source: RNAcentral